This 86-nucleotide small RNA is filed under the name Enterococcus thailandicus. RNAcentral describes it as "Trans-activating crRNA". It matches the Rfam family "Trans-activating crRNA". From Rfam's summary of the family: RNA-guided Streptococcus pyogenes Cas9 (SpCas9) is a sequence-specific DNA endonuclease, the Trans-activating CRISPR RNA form an hybrid with the crRNA (crRNA/tracrRNA). The RNA hybrid acts as a guide for the endonuclease Cas9. Lineage: Bacteria; Bacillati; Bacillota; Bacilli; Lactobacillales; Enterococcaceae. The record is from Rfam by way of RNAcentral.
UGUUGGUAGCAUUCAAAACAACAUAGCGAGUUAAAAUAAGGCUUAGUCCGUAAACAAACUUUGGCACUGUAUUCGGUGCUUUUUUU